Long non-coding RNA from Eptesicus fuscus (big brown bat), 754 nucleotides. RefSeq lists it as uncharacterized. The record is from RefSeq and is a predicted model, not a curated record. NCBI's taxonomy places the organism in Eukaryota, Metazoa, Chordata, Mammalia, Chiroptera, Vespertilionidae. The transcript is spliced from 3 exons.
CAUCCUGCCCCGAUCCGCUUCGUCCAUGCGUCGGAGCAGUGCUGACCCCCGCCCCGGGGUUCCAGACUCCACUCCCGCCUUCCUCUGACUCCCCGGACCUCCCACUCCCGCCCGCCCUCGGGAUCGACUAGAUCCCUCCCUCUCCCCGAGGAUUCCGGCUGGAUCUCUGCCCCUGCACCGCGGAUCCUGCUCUCCCGGGCUUCGGGCCCCUGGGGAUUGCGGUGGACUCCUCCUCCCGCACCCGAUUCCUUAGGAUCCUCCGCCUGUACCACCUUCUGGUCCCUCGAAGCCGGCCCACGGAGCCAGUGGAUCCUCAAUCCAGUCUUGUCCCGUAGCCUCCUCCUCACUCUACUGUCCCCACUGCGGGGUUCCCUGUUCUCGGGUUCCUCCUGACCCCAUCCCCUCCCCUCCCCGGGGAUCGACUGGAUCCCGGCCCCGCCCCCUGGGGCUGGGGCGAUCCCCCUCCCCCGCUGGGUGAGGCGCUGCGGGCGGGGGCUGGGCCUGCGGGACCGCGGGGGCUCAGAGGCCGCCGCCCCCUACUCGGAGCCCUGGAUGGAGGCACCACGGCCCCAGGGCUGAGCCAGGUCCAGCCUGCAUUCACCUUCUCCCUCUUCCUUCCCCUUCCCCACCCCUUGCCCCCUCCAUGGAAAGGAACAGACCCCUUCUCUGUCCAGUCUAACCCAGGUCCCUUUCCACGCCCCUUCUCCCUCCUUUCCCACCCCCUCCUCCCUCCUGGGGCGAGGGGGGGCCUCCC